GCCGAAGUGGUGAAACUGGCAGACACGCGGCGUUCAGGGCGCCGUGAGAGCAAUCUCAUGGGGGUUCGACUCCCCCCUUCGGCA
This 84-nucleotide transfer RNA is filed under the name Candidatus Omnitrophota bacterium. RNAcentral's name for it is "tRNA-Leu". It matches the Rfam family "tRNA". Rfam says of the family: Transfer RNA (tRNA) molecules are approximately 80 nucleotides in length. Their secondary structure includes four short double-helical elements and three loops (D, anti-codon, and T loops). Further hydrogen bonds mediate the characteristic L-shaped molecular structure. tRNAs have two regions of fundamental functional importance: the anti-codon, which is responsible for specific mRNA codon recognition, and the 3' end, to which the tRNAs corresponding amino acid is attached (by aminoacyl-tRNA synthetases). tRNAs cope with the degeneracy of the genetic code in two manners: having more than one tRNA (with a specific anti-codon) for a particular amino acid; and 'wobble' base-pairing, i.e. permitting non-standard base-pairing at the 3rd anti-codon position. Lineage: Bacteria; Pseudomonadati; Candidatus Omnitrophota. RNAcentral also lists the same sequence under 1 other name. The record is from RNAcentral.